AUGCUACUCAGCCUUGGACAGAUAUUGCUAACCCAGGUAAUGCUAACCCUGCAAAUACCAUCCAUGCAGGUAGAGAAGCUUUUAGAGAUAGCGCUGUGUUGGCAAACGUUGCACUUGGUAGUAGCAAAGCUAGUCCUUUAAUAGAUAAUGUUAAUGCUAUCUUGGCAUCCGAAUGUAACUACUGCAGCCAAACAUAUUGUAACGUUACACAGGGCUUUCCAGCUAGCACCGCUAACAGGAGAACCUCUGUGCCCCAGCCGAUCAAUAACAAAACUGAAUCUAUUGGUUGCAAUGAACCAGGGAGGAUGGAAUCCAUAAUUUAUGCUUCACUAUUAAGUCCCGAGAAAAAACAGAAGAACUCGACAACCCAACAUCCGUCUUUACAACAGCAGAUGACAGCUCCGGUGUUUGUCGAUGCUAAGCUAUCUGAGGCUAUGAGGAAACUGGGAAACGCAGACGCUGCUUAUUGGACCUUUUCUGGAACAAGAGAAGAAGAUGGAACGUUACUUCUGGAGAGCAGAGAGGAAUCGAUAGAGUGGAGCGAUGUUUCUACAUCAUUCAGUGAGAUAAAUAAUGGGGUUAGCUGGACAGUUCGCCCGGUUGGACUCCACCCCCAAGAGAAGCCCAAGCGGUGCAUCUUGGGAAGAGGACAGAGGAGCUGUAGACAAAUCACAGCGUCUUCUCCCAGGCUCAUCAGCCAAAUACAGCUUUCUGCCGAUUCCCUCUGCUCACCUUCAACCCACCGCACUCGUUUGCCACAGCACCUGGCCCACACAGCUUUACCUGUGAACACAUCCCCUGAUGAUAUCCCCACGUGCUCAUCUGUCUGUUGUCCUUGCAGACAGAAGCCACCGGUUCUUAACAACAAGCCAAAUCUCUCACCCAAAACCCUCAACCAACUCUUUGGGAUCCCGUGUUUGACGGACACUACAAGCUCUACAAGAACCAUGGGUACCUUGGAGUACCCUGGAACACUGGGAACUAGGGGAAGCAUGGAGAACAGUAGCACCCUGGGAAGCAUUGGCACCUAUGGGACCGGUGGAUCCUCAGAGACCAGUAGCACCAUGGGGACCAUGGAUAUCUAUCGGAAACGUGGACCUUCAGAGAAAAAUAGCACCCUGGGGAUCACAGAUCCCUGGAUUAUCAACACAAUUUCUGACCCAGAAGCAGAGGCUUUGCUCUACACAAGCUUGAUGACUGAAGACAAAGACGAGAAGGAGACGGUGGGCAAGAGAGGGAUGGAGUCACCAAUGAUGAUGACAAUAAUGUCCACCAGGAAAAAAAAGAAGGCCAGGAGGAGGAGGAGAAGCUCAGGCAGGCCCCUGCUGAUGACGUCAUCCCCAAGGGCCUCCUCCUCCUCGUCUUCCACACCCUCCUCGUCUCCAUCUUCAUCUGGAGACGAAGGAGACGUGAAUGAGAAAACCCGUUGGAGGACGAGGACCAUGGCACGCAACCACAAGAGCUCCUGUGCAGGGAUUGGUUGGAGCAGGUCACCCCCCAAAAACCAUCUCGGGGCGGAAGGGUUGCUGCGAGAUCUUCAGAUCCACGAGGAAGCAGAGAGAGAGCGAGGAAACAAGGAAACAGAGAAGAGGAAGGAAUUACGAGAGGAUCACAAGUUUGAGUCCAGUCGAAUACAAACCACCGAGGAUCUGUUCAAGGUCAUCCACAGAUCCAAGAGGAAGAUGUUCGGAAGGCGAGAUUCAGAAGACAACCGACAUCUAACUCCCUCCUCCUCCCUCACCGCCCCUCGGCCUCCUCUCUCCAGGCCUACCGCGGCUCCCAGAGGUCAAAGGUCAGGCAAGAGCGAGAGCUUCAAGCUCCUUUUGCUGAGGAAAAGGAGUCGGUGGGAUUCCUCUUCUCGGAAAUCGGCUGUUGAGCGACUUUGCAAACUUGCUUCUUCUGAGACUCCUGCUGACCUCCAAAGGGCGACGCCCACAGCAAUGACUACAUCAAUGAUGUCACCGAUGACACUGCCGGGUACACACAACCUUAAUGGCCUUUUUACUCAGAGCCAGAACUUCUCCAUGAUCGGGUUUGGAUGGGGAGAGAGAGUUCAGAAGCAGAAUCACCUCCUUUUCAGCUCCUCCUCCUCUAACUCCUCCCACCUCCUCUUCCUCUCCUCAUCCUCGCAGCCUCGUUCCCUCAAUCCCCCCUGCUCUUCCUGCCGCUGCUGCCUGAAGGCCACCCCGGAGAUGAAGAAACGAGGGGGGAAAAGGAAGAGAACGAUGUUUUUAUGGAGACCGCAGGAAGCGAAGGAGAAAAUCUUAACUGACUGUGACAAUGUCUUCUACUGAUCCGGUCUCAUGUCCCACAGCAGCAGAAGACCAGACUUGACUCAACUGGACUGGACUAAACCUAACUUAACUUAACAAGACUUGACUAACCCGAAUGAAAUCCAGCAGAUUGGAGUAACACAGAAGUGGACUCAACUAGACCACUCUAAACCCUACCCAACUAAACUGGAGCCCACCACGUCGGACUCGACCUGUAACUCAAACUUACAGUUGAAACUACCGAUCUUUAUGAACUUGUAUUUUUGACUUUAGCUUGAAUAAUCUUUGUUGAUACUUAGUUUUAAGUGAAUGAAUCAGAAUUUGUGGUUCUUUGUCCGUGUCUUCUGUCUGACCAAUUGGGAGAGAAUGUUACCAUUGACAAUUACAAUAUAGGGAAUGUUAUUAAGUAUUUUUUUAAUUUAAAUUGUUGUUUUUAAAGCUAGAAACAAUAAGUGAUUUACAUUGUACCAUUUGAGUCUCCACGGUAAUGAGUUGAUCUUUGUAAACAAAGUGGUGGACAGAAAGAUAAAUAAAUAUUAUAGUUGAAAACAGUGGCGGUUGGUGACAUUUUGUUUUUGUUAGGACCAACCAAUCAGCAAACAUCCCCAUAUGGGUCAAUGCAUAAAAAGGUAUCAAACAUGCAUCAUUGCUUUGCAGUUAACUAUUUCACAUUUGUUCCAACGGUUUAACAUUAUAAGGACAUGUUAUUCAUACAAUUCAGUAUAUUAAUUAAUAUAUAUGUCAAUACAUAAUCACACAUAUUGAAAUUCAUUAAUCGUGAUUAAAAGUGUUUUUUCUUUUUAAAGACUAAAUCUUAUAAAUUAAUGAGUAAUCACUUUUGAAAGUGUGUAUAUUAGACACUGUUGUUUAAUUGUAUUU
Long non-coding RNA from Gasterosteus aculeatus aculeatus (three-spined stickleback), 3152 nucleotides. The record is from Ensembl. Lineage: Eukaryota; Metazoa; Chordata; Actinopteri; Perciformes; Gasterosteidae.